GACGAACGCUGGCGGCGUGCCUAAUACAUGCGAGUCGAACGCACGGUUUAUACCGUAGCUUGCUACACCAUAGACUGUGAGUUGCGAACGGGUGAGUAACGCGUAGGUAACCUGCCUGGUAGCGGGGGAUAACUAUUGGAAACGAUAGCUAAUACCGCAUAAUAUUAAUUAUUGCAUGAUAAUUAAUUGAAAGGUGCAAUUGCACCACUACCAGAUGGACCUGCGUUGUAUUAGCUAGUAGGUGAGGUAACGGCUCACCUAGGCGACGAUACAUAGCCGACCUGAGAGGGUGAUCGGCCACACUGGGACUGAGACACGGCCCAGACUCCUACGGGAGGCAGCAGUAGGGAAUCUUCGGCAAUGGACGAAAGUCUGACCGAGCAACGCCGCGUGAGUGAAGAAGGGUUUCGGAUCGUAAAGCUCUGUUGUAAGAGAAGAACGGGUGUGAGAGUGGAAAGUUCACACUGUGACGGUAGCUUACCAGAAAGGGACGGCUAACUACGUG
This 505-nucleotide ribosomal RNA is filed under the name uncultured bacterium. Its description in RNAcentral is "partial 16S ribosomal RNA". It matches the Rfam family "Bacterial small subunit ribosomal RNA", at positions 28 to 507 of the family's 1533-position model. The record is from RNAcentral.